AGCGCGCGCGCCCCCGCCCCCUCCACAGUUUGGGGGUGGGGAGCGGCUGGGAACGAGAGUGAAAACCGAACCCUUCCCUGCGCGGAGAGGUUGGGCCCUGAUUCUGCCGCUCUGUGAGGUGGUGUUGAGAGCAUCUUUUCAUGUGUCUGUUAGCCAUCUGGAUGUCUUCUUUGAAGAACUCAUUUUCUUCUGGCAGUGAGACAGACUUCAGGCAUAUCACCUUUAUCCAGUGAGACAAAAAUGGUACAACUAGACCACACCUGUGGCACAGUGAGACUUCUGGAAAUGACAACAUCACUCAGGAUGCAGUGUUACUUCUGUCAGCAGAUUUUCUUCUUAGAUGAUGAAUCACCUGCCGUAAUGAAGAAGGAAAUGUGAAACAGUGGCCUGUACAUGGGAAGAAUUCAGUGCAGCUGGAAGGUCUCUAAUGGUUUCAUGUUUGGAAUCUCCUGUCUGUCAGCCCGGACCCCAGAUGUGCUGCCUGAUGCCCCUUGACCCUUCCCCAGCCUGCCUGUAUUCUUUCUUUACUGCUGCCCUGACCUCUACAUACUUUGAGCACUUCUGGUCCUUCUGGUAAACCUGGAGAUGUCCCAUCUCCAGCUGCUCCCUGUUCUGGGGUACCUGUGGCUCCAGCUGCUUGAUCAGAAACAAGACACCUGUGUGCUACAUUCUGGGGGGCUGGGCUGAUGCAUGCCCAGUAAAUACCCUUCUGCUACUCUUCCCAGUUAUGGUGGCGUCCAGUUUCCAUGGGUUGGAAUCCAGAGCAUCUCAGCUGGAUGCCUCAGAUCUCAGGGAUCCUUCACAGACUACAUCAAGGUGGUAGAGGGACUGCAGUCAUCUUGAGGCUCAAAUGGGGUAGAUCACUCACCUGGUUG
Felis catus (domestic cat) is the source of this 875-nucleotide long non-coding RNA. RefSeq lists it as uncharacterized. Lineage: Eukaryota; Metazoa; Chordata; Mammalia; Carnivora; Felidae. The record is from RefSeq and is a predicted model, not a curated record. The transcript is spliced from 7 exons.